UUGUUGGGGUUGUAGGACACUCUAUACGGAGUUACAAAGGACGACAUUAGACGAAUCAUCUGGAAAGAUGAAUCAAAGAAGGUAAUAAUCCUGUAGUCGAAAAUGUUGUCUCUCUUGAGUGGAUCCUGAGUACGACGGAGCACGUGAAAUUCCGUCGGAAUCUGGGAGGACCAUCUCCUAAGGCUAAAUACUCUCUAGUGACCGAUAGUGAACCAGUACCGUGAGGGAAAGGUGAAAAGCACCCCGGAAGGGGAGUGAAAUAGAACCUGAAACCGUGUGCUUACAAGUAGUCAGAGCCCGUUAAUGGGUGAUGGCGUGCCUUUUGUAGAAUGAACCGGCGAGUUACGAUUUGAUGCAAGGUUAAGCAGUAAAUGUGGAGCCGUAGCGAAAGCGAGUCUGAAUAGGGCGUUUAGUAUUUGGUCGUAGACCCGAAACCAGGUGAUCUACCCUUGGUCAGGUUGAAGUUCAGGUAACACUGAAUGGAGGACCGAACCGACUUACGUUGAAAAGUGAGCGGAUGAACUGAGGGUAGCGGAGAAAUUCCAAUCGAACCUGGAGAUAGCUGGUUCUCUCCGAAAUAGCUUUAGGGCUAGCCUCAAGUGAUGAUUAUUGGAGGUAGAGCACUGUUUGGACGAGGGGCCCCUCUCGGGUUACCGAAUUCAGACAAACUCCGAAUGCCAAUUAAUUUAACUUGGGAGUCAGAACAUGGGUGAUAAGGUCCGUGUUCGAAAGGGAAACAGCCCAGACCACCAGCUAAGGUCCCAAAAUAUAUGUUAAGUGGAAAAGGAUGUGGCGUUGCCCAGACAACUAGGAUGUUGGCUUAGAAGCAGCCAUCAUUUAAAGAGUGCGUAAUAGCUCACUAGUCGAGUGACACUGCGCCGAAAAUGUACCGGGGCUAAACAUAUUACCGAAGCUGUGGAUUGUCCUUUGGACAAUGGUAGGAGAGCGUUCUAAGGGCGUUGAAGCAUGAUCGUAAGGACAUGUGGAGCGCUUAGAAGUGAGAAUGCCGGUGUGAGUAGCGAAAGACGGGUGAGAAUCCCGUCCACCGAUUGACUAAGGUUUCCAGAGGAAGGCUCGUCCGCUCUGGGUUAGUCGGGUCCUAAGCUGAGGCCGACAGGCGUAGGCGAUGGAUAACAGGUUGAUAUUCCUGUACCACCUAUAAUCGUUUUA
RNAcentral lists this ribosomal RNA (1170 nucleotides) under Staphylococcus aureus. RNAcentral's name for it is "partial 23S ribosomal RNA". It matches the Rfam family "Bacterial large subunit ribosomal RNA", at positions 289 to 1461 of the family's 2925-position model. Lineage: Bacteria; Bacillati; Bacillota; Bacilli; Caryophanales; Staphylococcaceae. The record is from RNAcentral.